UACGUGAGGGGCGAACGUUGUUCGGUGUCACUGGGCUUAAAGGGCGCGUAGGUGGUUGUGUAAGUAACGUGUGAAAUCCCUCGGCUUACCCGGGGAAUUGCAUGUUAUACUGCAUGACUUGAGGAUCAGAGGGGAAUGGGGAACUCCAGGUGUAGCGGUGAAAUGCGCAGAUAUCUGGGGGAAGGCCGGCGGCGAAGGCGCCAUUCUGGCUGAUUCCUGACACUGAGGCGCGAAAGCGUGGGGAGCAAACAGG
RNAcentral lists this ribosomal RNA (253 nucleotides) under uncultured bacterium. RNAcentral's name for it is "partial 16S ribosomal RNA". It matches the Rfam family "Bacterial small subunit ribosomal RNA", at positions 524 to 776 of the family's 1533-position model. The record is from RNAcentral.